ACUCCAUAGAGCGCAGACAGUCGAAGGUAUAGUUGGUGGGGAUACGACCGAGUACGAAGGACAAGCAUAGAAGCUACGGGGAUAGAGGGAAGGGGAGAAGAUGCAGUUCAAUUGGGUGGGGGAAGAAAAGGAAGGAAGAAGGCAGAUGGAUAGCAAUCGAGAAGGAUACAAAGGGUUGGGUGGGGUGAGAAAUGAUGGAGAGUGAACAGUGGCGAGGGGUCGCUCUUCCGACCGAGGGGUUGUCGUGCCGGUGGGGAGGUUUGACCUGAGCUAGUUCCCCUCCAUUCAAUCCACGGCCACAAUAUCGGUUAUAGCGAGCCACUGUUGCCAGAUUGUGCGCCUCGACGACGACGGUGGCAGCGUGUGGGUGGAGUCAUGCGAUAGAGGGAAAAGGUCUCCCUGUAACAUCACGGCUGUCCUCUUCUCUUGUUCUCGUGCAUACUGCUCGAUCUGAGAAACGAGUAUAUACGUCUCGCCCUCCGUCUUCCGUUCUCGGCUGCUCCCGCGCUGUUGUUGUCGCUACCGGGACGCACGCAGACCCCUUCGAAACCGAGGUGCAUGUGGCAUUUCUACGUACACCGCCCGGAACUUAUGUAGCAACGGGCAAUCAUGGUCAUCUCGAACGUCUUUUCAGUGGCAAUCUCGAAAGAUCGGUUGCAGUGUUGCCUUGUCGCAGAUUACAAUCAUGUCAUUAUAUGUAUGGAUGAGAGAUAUAAUAAAACGCAAUAAAUCAAAUAUAACUAAUUUAUAA
Long non-coding RNA from Apis cerana (Asiatic honeybee), 751 nucleotides. RefSeq lists it as uncharacterized. The record is from RefSeq and is a predicted model, not a curated record. NCBI's taxonomy places the organism in Eukaryota, Metazoa, Arthropoda, Insecta, Hymenoptera, Apidae.